Molecule: ribosomal RNA, 523 nt
Filed under: uncultured bacterium
Lineage: Bacteria
Description: partial 16S ribosomal RNA
Rfam family: Bacterial small subunit ribosomal RNA
Source: RNAcentral
GACGAACGCUGGCGGCGUGCCUAAUACAUGCAAGUCGAACGCUUUUUCCUUCACCGGAGCUUGCUCCACCGAAAGAAGAAGAGUGGCGAACGGGUGAGUAACACGUGGGUAACCUGCCCAUCAGAAGGGGAUAACACUUGGAAACAGGUGCUAAUACCGUAUAACACUAUUUUCCGCAUGGAAGAAAGUUGAAAGGCGCUUUUGCGUCACUGAUGGAUGGACCCGCGGUGCAUUAGCUAGUUGGUGAGGUAACGGCUCACCAAGGCAACGAUGCAUAGCCGACCUGAGAGGGUGAUCGGCCACACUGGGACUGAGACACGGCCCAGACUCCUACGGGAGGCAGCAGUAGGGAAUCUUCGGCAAUGGACGAAAGUCUGACCGAGCAACGCCGCGUGAGUGAAGAAGGUUUUCGGAUCGUAAAACUCUGUUGUUAGAGAAGAACAAGGAUGAGAGUAAAACGUUCAUCCCUUGACGGUAUCUAAUCAGAAAGCCACGGCUAACUACGUGCCAGCAGCCGCGGUAA